RNAcentral lists this transfer RNA (72 nucleotides) under candidate division TA06 bacterium ADurb.Bin131. Its description in RNAcentral is "tRNA-Gly". It matches the Rfam family "tRNA". From Rfam's summary of the family: Transfer RNA (tRNA) molecules are approximately 80 nucleotides in length. Their secondary structure includes four short double-helical elements and three loops (D, anti-codon, and T loops). The record is from RNAcentral.
GCGGGGUUAGUUUAGUGGUAAAACAUCAGCCUUCCAAGCUGAUUAUACGGGUUCGAUUCCCGUACCCCGCUC